AGGGCGACGGGGUCCACACCGCGGGUGACGGUGAGGUAGUCGCGCAUCACGAUGCCGUGCCGGUUCUC
Rhodococcus sp. RD6.2 is the source of this 68-nucleotide small RNA. It matches the Rfam family "ASdes TB sRNA". Lineage: Bacteria; Bacillati; Actinomycetota; Actinomycetes; Mycobacteriales; Nocardiaceae. The record is from Rfam.